CUUACGGGUGGCUGCAGUGGGGGAUAUUGCACAAUGGGGGAAACCCUGAUGCAGCAACGCCGCGUGAAGGAAGAAGGCUCUCGGGUUGUAAACUUCUUUUAUCAGGGACGAAGCAAGUGACGGUACCUGAUGAAUAAGCCACGGCUAACUACGUGCCAGCAGCCGCGGUAAUACGUAGGUGGCAAGCGUUAUCCGGAUUUACUGGGUGUAAAGGGCGUGUAGGCGGGAAAGCAAGUCAGAUGUGAAAACCAUGGGCUCAACCUGUGGCCUGCAUUUGAAACUGUUUUUCUUGAGUACUGGAGAGGCAGACGGAAUUCCUAGUGUAGCGGUGAAAUGCGUAGAUAUUAGGAGGAACACCAGUGGCGAAGGCGGUCUGCUGGACAGCAACUGACGCUGAGGCGCGAAAGCGUGGGGAGCAAACAGGAUUAGAUACCCGAGUAGUC
Molecule: ribosomal RNA, 443 nt
Filed under: uncultured bacterium
Lineage: Bacteria
Description: partial 16S ribosomal RNA
Rfam family: Bacterial small subunit ribosomal RNA
Source: RNAcentral